RNAcentral lists this long non-coding RNA (121 nucleotides) under Anas platyrhynchos platyrhynchos (common mallard). Its description in RNAcentral is "lncRNA (ENSAPLG00000029815.1)". Lineage: Eukaryota; Metazoa; Chordata; Aves; Anseriformes; Anatidae. The record is from RNAcentral.
UUCACAGGCUGAUGAAGAGAAGAUACCAUAAGUAGAGACCAGGGAAUACAAAAAGAGUAAAAGUGAGAAUGGAAUGGACCAGGAAAAGUAUUUGUUUUGUGCUGGCCUCAUGGUACAAGAU